This 487-nucleotide ribosomal RNA is filed under the name Fusarium oxysporum. RNAcentral describes it as "eukaryotic LSU rRNA". The stretch from base 135 to 288 matches the Rfam family "5.8S ribosomal RNA". The record is from RNAcentral. Lineage: Eukaryota; Fungi; Ascomycota; Sordariomycetes; Hypocreales; Nectriaceae.
CCCAAACCCCUGUGAACAUACCACUUGUUGCCUCGGCGGAUCAGCCCGCUCCCGGUAAAACGGGACGGCCCGCCAGAGGACCCCUAAACUCUGUUUCUAUAUGUAACUUCUGAGUAAAACCAUAAAUAAAUCAAAACUUUCAACAACGGAUCUCUUGGUUCUGGCAUCGAUGAAGAACGCAGCAAAAUGCGAUAAGUAAUGUGAAUUGCAGAAUUCAGUGAAUCAUCGAAUCUUUGAACGCACAUUGCGCCCGCCAGUAUUCUGGCGGGCAUGCCUGUUCGAGCGUCAUUUCAACCCUCAAGCACAGCUUGGUGUUGGGACUCGCGUUAAUUCGCGUUCCUCAAAUUGAUUGGCGGUCACGUCGAGCUUCCAUAGCGUAGUAGUAAAACCCUCGUUACUGGUAAUCGUCGCGGCCACGCCGUUAAACCCCCAACUUCUGAAUGUUGACCUCGGAUCAGGUAGGAAUACCCGCUGAACUUAAGCAUAU